UACGUAGGGUGCAAGCGUUAAUCGGAAUUACUGGGCGUAAAGCGUGCGCAGGCGGUUUUGUAAGUCUGUCGUGAAAGCCCCGGGCUCAACCUGGGAAUUGCGAUGGAGACUGCAAGGCUUGAAUCUGGCAGAGGGGGGUAGAAUUCCACGUGUAGCAGUGAAAUGCGUAGAGAUGUGGAGGAACACCGAUGGCGAAGGCAGCCCCCUGGAUCAAGAUUGACGCUCAUGCACGAAAGCGUGGGGA
RNAcentral lists this ribosomal RNA (244 nucleotides) under uncultured bacterium. RNAcentral's name for it is "partial 16S ribosomal RNA". It matches the Rfam family "Bacterial small subunit ribosomal RNA", at positions 524 to 767 of the family's 1533-position model. The record is from RNAcentral.